RNAcentral lists this ribosomal RNA (479 nucleotides) under uncultured Planctomycetota bacterium. Its description in RNAcentral is "bacterial SSU rRNA". It matches the Rfam family "Bacterial small subunit ribosomal RNA", at positions 364 to 833 of the family's 1533-position model. The record is from RNAcentral. Lineage: Bacteria; Pseudomonadati; Planctomycetota.
UUUCGCAAUGCCCGAAAGGGUGACGAAGCGACGCCGCGUGCGGGAAGAAGGCCUUCGGGUUGUAAACCGCUGUCGGGAGUUAAGAAAUGUAAGGAUGUUAAUAGCAUCUUUACCUGACUAAGGCUCCGGAGGAAGCCACGGCUAACUCUGUGCCAGCAGCCGCGGUAAUACAGAGGCGGCAAGCGUUGUUCGGAAUUAUUGGGCGUAAAGAGCACGUAGGCGGCUAUGUAAGUCGGUUGUGAAAGCCUUCCGCUCAACGGGAGAACAGCAUCCGAUACUGCAUGGCUUGAGUGCGGGAGGGGAGAGUGGAACUUCUGGUGGAGCGGUGAAAUGCGUAGAUAUCAGAAGGAACGCCGGCGGCGAAAGCGGCUCUCUGGCCCAUAACUGACGCUGAGUGUGCGAAAGCUAGGGGAGCAAACGGGAUUAGAUACCCCGGUAGUCCUAGCCGUAAACGAUGGGCACUAAGUAGAGGGGUUUUA